This 68-nucleotide transfer RNA is filed under the name Mycobacteroides chelonae. RNAcentral's name for it is "tRNA-Phe". It matches the Rfam family "tRNA". From Rfam's summary of the family: Transfer RNA (tRNA) molecules are approximately 80 nucleotides in length. RNAcentral also lists the same sequence under 2 other names. Lineage: Bacteria; Bacillati; Actinomycetota; Actinomycetes; Mycobacteriales; Mycobacteriaceae. The record is from RNAcentral.
AGGUCAGUGGCUAUCUCGUCCGCCUGAAAAGCGGAAGGUCGGCGGUUCGAUCCCGCCCCUGGCCACCA